RNAcentral lists this ribosomal RNA (551 nucleotides) under uncultured Acinetobacter sp. RNAcentral describes it as "bacterial SSU rRNA". It matches the Rfam family "Bacterial small subunit ribosomal RNA", at positions 158 to 703 of the family's 1533-position model. Lineage: Bacteria; Pseudomonadati; Pseudomonadota; Gammaproteobacteria; Moraxellales; Moraxellaceae. The record is from RNAcentral.
GAAUGCUAAUACCGCAUACGCCCUACGGGGGAAAGCAGGGGAUCUUCGGACCUUGCGCUAAUAGAUGAGCCUAAGUCAGAUUAGCUAGUUGGUGGGGUAAAGGCCUACCAAGGCGACGAUCUGUAGCGGGUCUGAGAGGAUGAUCCGCCACACUGGGACUGAGACACGGCCCAGACUCCUACGGGAGGCAGCAGUGGGGAAUAUUGGACAAUGGGCGCAAGCCUGAUCCAGCCAUGCCGCGUGUGUGAAGAAGGCCUUUUGGUUGUAAAGCACUUUAAGCGAGGAGGAGGCUACUUGGAUUAAUACUCUAGGAUAGUGGACGUUACUCGCAGAAUAAGCACCGGCUAACUCUGUGCCAACAGCCGCGGUAAUACAGAGGGUGCGAGCGUUAAUCGGAUUUACUGGGCGUAAAGCGUGCGUAGGCGGCUUUUUAAGUCGGAUGUGAAAUCCCUGAGCUUAACUUAGGAAUUGCAUUCGAUACUGGGAAGCUAGAGUAUGGGAGAGGAUGGUAGAAUUCCAGGUGUAGCGGUGAAAUGCGUAGAGAUCUGGAG